GUGGGGAAUUUUGGACAAUGGGCGCAAGCCUGAUCCAGCAAUGCCGCGUGCAGGAAGAAGGCCUUCGGGUUGUAAACUGCUUUUGUACGGAACGAAACGGUCCGGGUUAAUACCCUGGGCUAAUGACGGUACCGUAAGAAUAAGCACCGGCUAACUACGUGCCAGCAGCCGCGGUAAGACGUAGGGUGCAAGCGUUAAUCGGAAUUACUGGGCGUAAAGCGUGCGCAGGCGGUUUUGUAAGACAGGUGUGAAAUCCCCGGGCUCAACCUGGGAACUGCACUUGUGACUGCAAGGCUAGAGUGUGUCAGAGGGAGGUGGAAUUCCGCGUGUAGCAGUGAAAUGCGUAGAGAUGCGGAGGAACACCGAUGGCGAAGGCAGCCUCCUGGGAUAACACUGACGCUCAGGCACGAAAGCGUGGGGAGCAAACAGGAUUAGAAACCCUUGUAGUCC
This 450-nucleotide ribosomal RNA is filed under the name uncultured bacterium. RNAcentral describes it as "bacterial SSU rRNA". It matches the Rfam family "Bacterial small subunit ribosomal RNA", at positions 354 to 796 of the family's 1533-position model. The record is from RNAcentral.